CACGUAGGGUCCGAGCGUUGUCCGGAAUACUGGGCGUAAAGCGUGCGCAGGCGGCGGUCCAUGUCUGGUGUGAAAUCUCCCGGCCUUAACUGGGAGGGUGCGCCGGAAACGGGGGCUGCUGGAGUGCGGGAGAGGGUAAGCGGAAUUCCCGGUGGUAGCGGUGAAAUGCGCAGAUAUCGGGAGGAACACCAAUGGCGAAGGCAGCUCGCUGGGACGGUACUGACGCUGAGACGCGAAAGCGUGGGGAGCAAAC
RNAcentral lists this ribosomal RNA (253 nucleotides) under uncultured bacterium. RNAcentral's name for it is "partial 16S ribosomal RNA". It matches the Rfam family "Bacterial small subunit ribosomal RNA", at positions 524 to 773 of the family's 1533-position model. The record is from RNAcentral.